This 348-nucleotide ribosomal RNA is filed under the name Triticum aestivum (bread wheat). Its description in RNAcentral is "partial small subunit ribosomal RNA". Lineage: Eukaryota; Viridiplantae; Streptophyta; Magnoliopsida; Poales; Poaceae. The record is from RNAcentral.
AUGAAGGAUCAAACAAUACAUGAUCUAUGGCCAACUCCACCGCGUGAUGAGAACAUCAAUACCAUUGUUACACCCACAACCCCUACUGUUACAUACACUGGACCAAUUACUAGAGCUCGCGCACGCCAAUUAAAUUACCAGGUACUUUCGUUUCUUGGUAAUGAUUCUAAUGUUCAUGAGAUUAUGAUGUUGCCUAAAUUGGAUACAUUUGUUUUGCUUACAAAUGAAGGGCCUAGCUUGGAGAAGGAUGAACAUUGGAGCAAGAACACGCAUGAAGUUGAUGGCAUGCGCAAGGGGAUCAAGAACGGAGUUAUAAGUGAUGAUUUCAGGACUUUGAAGCCGCCAUAA